GACGAACGCUGGCGGCAUGCCUAAUACAUGCAAGUCGAGCGAACAGAUGAAGUGCUUGCACUUCUGACGUUAGCGGCGAACGGGUGAGUAACACGUAAGGAAUCUACCUAUAAGCGGGGGAUAACAUUCGGAAACGGGUGCUAAUACCGCAUAAUAUCUUCUUCCGCAUGGAAGAAGAUUGAAAGACGGCUCUGCUGUCACUUAUAGAUGACCUUGCGGUGCAUUAGUUAGUUGGUGGGGUAACGGCCUACCAAGACGAUGAUGCAUAGCCGACCUGAGAGGGUGAUCGGCCACAUUGGGACGGAGACACGGCCCAAACUCCUACGGGAGGCAGCAGUAGGGAAUCUUCCGCAAUGGGCGAAAGCCUGACGGAGCAAUGCCGCGUGAGUGAAGAAGGCCUUCGGGUCGUAAAACUCUGUUAUAAGAGAAGAACAAAUUGUAGAGUGACUGCUACAGUCUUGACGGUAUCUUAUCAGAAAGCCACGGCUAACUACGUGCCAGCCGCCGCCGUAA
This 513-nucleotide ribosomal RNA is filed under the name uncultured bacterium. RNAcentral's name for it is "partial 16S ribosomal RNA". It matches the Rfam family "Bacterial small subunit ribosomal RNA", at positions 28 to 523 of the family's 1533-position model. The record is from RNAcentral.